Non-coding RNA from Nylanderia fulva, 576 nucleotides. Lineage: Eukaryota; Metazoa; Arthropoda; Insecta; Hymenoptera; Formicidae. The record is from RefSeq and is a predicted model, not a curated record.
AUUUUCUCUCUUAGGGGGGGAGAUGUAAGGAAAUUCCAUUACAUUUCCUCGGAUUAAUUUAAAAUCUCCCGGUAAAACGGUCGGUAAUACGGGCAUCUAGAUGUGCAAAGAAAAAUUAAUAGAGGUUAGAAAAGAGAAACCCACGUGGAGAGAAAAUACGGUGAAUAAAAUUUAAUUUGACAAAGUGUUAUUAUAAUAGAAUCAGUGAAUAAGAAACAUUGAAUGUUGUUUCUUUGUUUUUCAGGUCUUAAGAAAAAAAUCGGGCGAUGGCUUAAUCGUAUUAAUAAUAUAUCAUAGCGUGGCCAGAAGACUUGGUUUACGUUGCAAUGUAAUAGAUAAUUGCCCUUAUUAUAUAUUUUGGAAACCAAAAUAUACUAAUGACGGAUUAGAAAAUGUGCGAUAUUUGCUAGUUGAACGGCAGGAUGAUUUAUCAUGGCCCACACCAUUAUUGUCAGACUUUCAUGAAUUCUAUAAGAUGUAUGUUAAUAAGGUAUGGAACUACUUAAAAAUAAAUUUCAAAGAAAUGUUGGUUUGGCUAAUGCAAUAUUCAAGUUGGAGUCAAAUGCUUAUGAAAUU